UGGGGGAUAUUGCACAAUGGGCGAAAGCCUGAUGCAGCGACGCCGCGUGGGGGAUGAAGGCUUUCGGGUUGUAAACCUCUUUCGCUAUCGAACAAGGCCCGCUUAGGGUGGGUUGAGGGUAGGUGGAGAAGAAGCGCCGGCUAACUACGUGCCAGCAGCCGCGGUAUACGUAGGGCGCGAGCGUUGUCCGGAAUUAUUGGGCGUAAAGGGCUUGUAGGCGGCUUGUUGCGCCUGCUGUGAAAACGCGGGGCUUAACUUCGCGCGUGCAGUGGGUACGGGCAGGCUUGAGUGUGGUAGGGGUGACUGGAAUUCCAGGUGUAGCGGUGGAAUGCGCAGAUAUCUGGAGGAACACCGAUGGCGAAGGCAGGUCACUGGGCCAUUACUGACGCUGAGGAGCGAAAGCAUGGGUAGCGAACAGG
RNAcentral lists this ribosomal RNA (419 nucleotides) under bacterium. Its description in RNAcentral is "partial 16S ribosomal RNA". It matches the Rfam family "Bacterial small subunit ribosomal RNA", at positions 355 to 776 of the family's 1533-position model. The record is from RNAcentral.